GACUAAUAGAUCACGUAUGGAUAAUGGAUGCGCUUGCCGCAUUCUGCUUUUCGUUAGGAAACAGCAACUUUCGUUUGGCCAUUUUGAUGUGGAGUUUUAUCUUGUGAGUUUUUGGAUUUAUUUUUUAGUUUUAACCUUCAUUCUAAGUCGUUGUUUUGGUUCUCAAUUGCCAUAUAAAAGAUUGUUCGGGGAUGCUAGUUGUUUUAAGAUACUGACCGAUAGCCAAUUGUUAAUAUUGAAACUAGCUUUUUUCUUUUUUGGGGGGGGGGUAGAAGAAACUAGCUUUCGAAGGUCAUAAUUCUCGAUCA
RNAcentral lists this long non-coding RNA (308 nucleotides) under Elaeis guineensis (African oil palm). RNAcentral's name for it is "long non-coding RNA (EGUI_LNC011325)". The record is from RNAcentral. Lineage: Eukaryota; Viridiplantae; Streptophyta; Magnoliopsida; Arecales; Arecaceae.